This is a small nucleolar RNA of Arvicanthis niloticus (Nile rat), 130 nucleotides long. RefSeq annotates it as small nucleolar RNA SNORA17. The record is from RefSeq and is a predicted model, not a curated record. Lineage: Eukaryota; Metazoa; Chordata; Mammalia; Rodentia; Muridae.
CCUGCCCCUAGAAGCAUUGUGGGUGUGACUGCAGUGUCACAGGUGCAUCAAUAGGUGGCAGAGAGGAGAGAGACCAUGUCUACUCUGUCUUCUGACCUGUGAACAUCUGAAUGAUUAGUACUCUAACAUU